GUUCUUAUUCACGAAUCCUAUUAGGAUCUCUAGCACUUGAAUACUCUAUCUGGUAGCUAAAUUCAAAAUUAGAGCAGAUAGGUCGAAUAAGCCUUUUUCCUGAGAGUAGUACAGCGAACGUGUCACGAAAGGCAGCACUCGUAGUAGGGACAAACAUAAAAUAUCUUCAUUUAAGACAGUGUUAUUUACGCUACAUUAUUUUAUUAUUUAAAAAUAAUAUUUAAACACAAAAAAAUUUUUUUAAUAACCACUACCAACAAAACAUUGUAGUUUUGCGAGGUGUACGUCGGGUUAUCGCUAUCCAGAGGAAAAUUUGUUUUUUUAUACCAUUUGUAAAACCUCAUAUUGACGAGGUUAGAUGCAAUAAAUGGAUACAUGCGUCAAGGAGAGUGGAUUUAACAGUAGAAAAAAUUAAUAAAUAUUCAUAUGUGUGCUCAAAACAUUUUAUCGGUGGAAAAGGUCCAACUGUAGAAAAUCCUGAUCCUGUUUCUGCAAUGAUUAGCAAAAUAAAUACCAAGGGCACGAAAAAAACGACUUUCAACAUCAACAAUUGAUUCUCUGUGCAGUCCAGACCAAAAAUCAAAAAGAGGCAAAGAUGCUAAUUCAGAUUCUUUUAUUUCAAGUCAACAAAAUGAUACUCAAGAUAUUUCAGUAGACGACUAUUUAACUCCUAAAGUUACUGAACCACCACCAAGUGACAAAGAACACACCAAUCAAUAUGUAGCUCAUGCAGAAAGUCAAACUUGUAUAGAAGUUGAAAGUAUUUUUGUGAAAAAAUGAAAUUGACACACUUACGAAAAAAUUAAGUGCAUCUACCCUUAACUAUGAAUCAUGUAUAAAUGACAGUAAGAAGUUUAAGUUUUAUACAGGUCUUAUGCCAGAAGAUUUUGAUAUUGUGUGGAAUUUCUUAGGACCGCCAACUGAAUCAUCACUGAGGAUCUGGCACUCACAAUCAGGAACUAAUAACCGCAUAACGAUAAAGCAAUUUAAAGUAUUAUCGUUAAAAAAUCAACUUUUUUUUAACUCUUGUGAGAUUAAGAUGUGGUUUUUUAUUGUACGAUUUAAGUUGUCGGUUUGGUGUGAGUAUGAGUUCUAUUUCAAAAAUAACAACAACAUGGAUCCAAUUAAUGUAUUGUAAAUUUAAA
Long non-coding RNA from Polistes dominula (European paper wasp), 1145 nucleotides. Lineage: Eukaryota; Metazoa; Arthropoda; Insecta; Hymenoptera; Vespidae. The record is from RefSeq and is a predicted model, not a curated record.